This 21-nucleotide microRNA is filed under the name Citrus sinensis (sweet orange). Its description in RNAcentral is "csi-miR3953". Lineage: Eukaryota; Viridiplantae; Streptophyta; Magnoliopsida; Sapindales; Rutaceae. The record is from miRBase by way of RNAcentral.
UUGAGUUCUGCAAGCCGUCGA